AGUGCUAUUCAUGUGCAAGA
RNAcentral lists this microRNA (20 nucleotides) under Ciona intestinalis (vase tunicate). RNAcentral describes it as "cin-miR-367-5p". Its record names the gene cin-miR-367-5p. Lineage: Eukaryota; Metazoa; Chordata; Ascidiacea; Phlebobranchia; Cionidae. The record is from miRBase by way of RNAcentral.